RNAcentral lists this ribosomal RNA (255 nucleotides) under Triticum aestivum (bread wheat). RNAcentral describes it as "partial small subunit ribosomal RNA". The record is from RNAcentral. Lineage: Eukaryota; Viridiplantae; Streptophyta; Magnoliopsida; Poales; Poaceae.
AUCCAUUUCAAGUGAGCUCUGGUUGGAAAAGGAUGGGAUGCGUGACUGCAUUUAGUUUGAAAGUUGAUGACGAUCACCUUAUCUAAUAAGUCCGAUUCAUUUCGAUGGACCCUAUUUGCUUCUGGCGUGCUUUCUGUUAAAUCAGUGUACGUGGACUUGAUUAAUUCUGGACCAGUUCUCCGGCCCAUGCAUCGAGCGAGCUCUUUAUGGAGUACAAUAUUGGGGCCGGUUCCUCAAAAUAUCCAUUUCACAUGA